RNAcentral lists this long non-coding RNA (5695 nucleotides) under Vigna radiata. RNAcentral describes it as "long non-coding RNA (VRAD_LNC012367)". The record is from RNAcentral. Lineage: Eukaryota; Viridiplantae; Streptophyta; Magnoliopsida; Fabales; Fabaceae.
UCCUUUUCUUUUUCAACCGACCCUAAUUAUCAGAGUGUUGCUAUCCCCCCUUAAAGCACUGAUUGGAUAGAGUUUGAAGAAAUAAAAAAGGAAAGGGGCAAGAAAAUCGUUACCAGUUCAGGCCAAAUAUCAAUUGCGCAGGCUUCAACUGUAUUCAGGAAGCACUCAUUUGGUCCAUGCUGCAAUCAAAAAUAAAAAAUAAAAAAUAAAAAAAUAAAUAGAAAAAAUUAAUAAAAGGUAAAAUUGGGUGAAAAGGGUACCUGGCAGAUGAAGGUGUGGUUGGGUUGAAGGNUUGCAUUGCCCCAAGGAACGAAUUUGAGGUCAACGAUGGGGAUGAGGUCAGUGGAGAAGAUUUUGGAAAGGUGAUUGACGAUGAAGUUGGCGCUGUAUGGGCACAAGCUUUCAUAGUACAAUUCUAAGGAGACUUUGGGAGGUUGAGAUUUAGAUUCAGAUUGCGAGAAGAAGGCGAAGAAAGAAAGGUAGAGGAGCAGAGAAAGAAAGAAGGUGGUGGAAGGAGAAACCAUGGCUGAAACUGAAUUUGGAUUCAAUGGGAAACCAGGAUCCCAAUUUGAAUACUGUGUUUGUGAAUACAAACAAGAUGUUCAUUUAAAAGCUACAUCAUAUUCAUUUAAUCUUAUUUGUCCCAAUUCAUCAAUCAAAUUAAUAUUAGUCACGGUAUUCCGAUAAAAACGAAAAAGAAAAAACCGUUUCAAUUUUAUUUAUUAUUUUAAAUUUGAGAGAAAAGAAAAGUCAAAGGAAGAUUGAUUGAAUUAAAAAAAAAAUUGUAAGAAAAUGAAAGAAUUUAGAUGAAGGUUUAUAAAAGUUAAGAAGGAUAUAAUAUGUUUGGUAGAUUAAUAAACAAUGUUUUAAUGGAUAAACUAGAAUGAUUAUCAUUUUAUUUUUAAGGAUUAAAUAUGUUUUUGUUCCCAUAACUUUUAGUGAAAAUUGGAAUUAGUCCUUCCUCAAAAUUUAGGUCUAAUUCAGUCCCUCAACUAUAAAAAUGUAUGAAUUUAGUCAUUUCAACUAAAUUUUGUUAGGUUUAUUUUAUGUUUCAAACACAUUUCAUGAUAGUAUUUGGGUUGUUUAUACUAUUUGACACAUUUUUGUUUCAAUCUUAACUGAGAAACACAUUUGAAACAUCAAAUAAAGUUAAUAAAUUUUUAUUAAAAUGACUAAAUUCAUACAUUUCUGUUUGGGGACUAAAUUAGGCCAAAGUUUUGAAGAGGAACUAAUUUUAAUUUUCACUGAAAAUUCAGGAAUCAAAAACAUAUUUAACCCUAUUUUUAACUGUAAAAGUUAUUUAAAAUAAAUUGUGUGUUUAUAUUACUAUUAUUAUAAAAAAAUUAAUAAACAGUUACCCAUAUUAAAAAAAAAAUUAACAAACAUGUGAAAGAGAAAAAAAAUGGAGUAUUGAUUCCCAUCACACUAUAAUCAAUUCUCAAUGCAAUUACUCUCUUAAGAAAAACAAAAAGCUAACAUCCAUUUUUGUUUCUACUUUUAGAAAAUUUAAUUAGAUUUCUAGUUUUUAUCUCAUUCAAUUAAAUUUUUUAGUUUUUAAAAAUCAUUUAAUGAUAUUUUUUUCUUUAAAUUAAUGUUAACGUCGUAUUUAUAUAUAGGUCCAUUAGUGAUAUUUUUGAUUUUUGAUUUUUAUUUUACUAUAAAAAAAUUGUUAUAUAUCAGAUCAAUAUUGUGUCAUAUAAUUGUGUCACGUUAAUAUUGUGUCACAUGAUAAUAUUAAUGUUACAUGACAAAUUCAUAUGCUACAUGUCCAUACAAGUGUCAUGUAUCAUUCUUUAUGUUAGAUGAUAAUGCUUUGUAUUCAAUUUAGUUUAUAUAUUUGAAAUUUUGACUCAAUAUAGUAUAAUAUUUUUAAGAAAAUAUUAAAUAAUGUUAUUCAUCCUAGAAACCAAAUUAGUAAUCUAAAUUAGUAAAGUUGAGUUUAAAAUAGAUUUUAAGUGAAAUUGGAAUCCUCUUAUAAAUUAAUCAAAAUAUAAUUAAUUAAGAACAUCUUUGACACAAAAGUAAUCUAUUUUGAAAUACAUAACUAUAUAUCAAUUUGAAAUUGUUUUAAUCGAUUAACAUAUUUAUAUAAUCAAUUAAAAUAUAACCAAAUUGAGAAUUCCAAAAAUAUAAAUUAUAUUAAUCGAUUAAGUUAUUUUCAUAAUCAAUUAAUAACAUCAGUAUUACAUUUUCUCUUUAAAAACAAACUUUCUUUUCAUUCUAAAGAUACAAAUUUUCAUAUCUAAGAAUCGAUUGCGUAAAAAAGAAGAAUUCUAGAAUUAUUGAAGAAAGUAACAACUGGAUUAUUGUAAAAUUCAUAAGAGGCUAUCAAGAUGAAUUUGAUUUUAGAAACUCUUGCUUGAGAUAUGAUUGAUGUGGUGUAUUCGUUCAUUUUACUUUUUACAUUUCUUUCAUUUUUUGAAUUUUAUUAAUUGUGUAGUUGAUAAGCUUAAUGUAAUUGAUUGAAACAUUAGCGUAUUGGUUCUUGAUAUCCUAUAAUAUAGAAUUAUUAAGUUGUACUUAUAAAUCUCUGAAAUCUUUGAUUAUUGUAGAAAUCUUCCAAACUUAUCUUACUUUGAAGAAAACUAUACUUAGAUUUAAGUUGAAUUAAACUAAUAUAAAAAUUAUAUGCUUUUUUUCCUCUUCUUUCAUUAAUCUCGUAUUUUCUUGAUGGAUUUCACCCUUCUUGGAUGAAAAAUAUUUUCUAUUACUGUUUCUAACAUUAAAUAUUAUAAUUAUUUUUAUUUUUAUUUUAUAUUUAAAAAAAAUAUUUUAAACAUAAUUUUUUUUAAAAUAUUAGAAAUGUAAAUAUAAAAUGAUACUUAUAAUUUUUAAAUUUUAAUAUUUAAAACAGUUUAAAUAAAUGUAUUUUUCUAUGUUAGCUUAUUUAUAAAUUUUGUGUGAUAAAUAUAUUUACAUCUUUUAAUUUAAUGUAUAAAAUAGGAAUUAGACGACGAAAAAUGAUUUUAGAAAAAAAAAACUACAUUGUGCUAAUUAAUGAGAGAUGGGAAUCAAUUUCUAUGAAAGAAGUUAGAAUAGAGGGAAUCGAUUCCUUUGAUGCAUGGAUGUGAGGAAAACGGAUUCUCAUGUAGUUUGUAUAAACAAUAUAAAUACAAGAAAACCUACUUAUGAAUAUGUAUUCACAUUGCUUUACAUCAAUUUGUUUAAAAAAUAUACAACGAAACAACUAAAUACUAUAUUAUAUAACACUUCAUAAUAAAUGUUGUUGAAUCUCAAAUAAUAAAUUGUGAAGAUAAUUUUAGAAGAUGAUCUACAUAUAUUUUUACCGAGUCUUUUUCGAUAUCUAAAUUUUAACAUGGUUUAUAGUUAGCUAAUUUUUUUAUUAAAAAUAAAUAUUGAGAAGAAAAACUCCUUCAUGAAUUAAAAUCAAAAAUUUUAAAACUAAACUUUAAAUCAUAUAAUAACGUAAAGAAGAAUAUAAGCAUACAUGCAAUGUAACCGUAUUAAACUAAAUAAUUAUGAACUAAGUCUAAUAAUACAAAAAGAUGAACACUUUUUAACAAUAUUUUUACAACAGAAUACGUGUCACUAUUUCAUUCGUCUAUUUGAAUUUAUCUUAAAAAAAAUAUUUGAAACGGACCAAUCACAAACUAUCACAUAUAUCAAAAAAGAAUUGUUAAAAAACUUUUUUUCAUAUAAAAAAAUGUAUCUAACGAGUACAUGUGUCUACUGUACUCAUUCAGUACAACUCAUUAGAAUGUCCACUAUGGUAAACUAUUCUUAAACGAUUUCAUGUUACGCUUAGAAAUCUAUAUAUAGAAUCCCGUUUAACAUUCUAUAUAGGUUAUAUAUAAUUAACCGUGUGUCUGAUCUUCUUUUCUCUCUCUUUCCUUAUAUUAUCCAGUUUUAUUAGUUAGAAAAGAGCAUUUUUUUUAUUUUCUCUCUUUCUCUUAUUUUCUUAAAGUAUUUGUGUUAGAAAAAAACUUAGGGACAACAUGGUUUUGUUUGGAAGUCUAAUUUGCAAUUUCUGAGGUGUCAGUCAACAGAACGUAACACGAACAAACUGCUUUUACAUUAAGCAUUGUCACAUCUAAAUUGUAUCACCAAGGUUCAUCUUGUGCAACCAUGAAGACAUGGUUGAACUCACUUUUCGCCAAGUUAAUAGGCUCUUCUCUUUCCUUGUCGCAAACUGAAUGUUCGUUCUUUGCUUUCAGUUCUGUAAGGUAUGAUACUUUGGUGCAACUUUUGGGUGUAUCAGUGCCUUUAUAAGCCUUACAGAUAUAGCUUAAGAAGUUUUCAUAAUCCUGCAACCACAAAAUUUUGCAAGCACGAUUCAAUUUCCUGUACAUUCAUAAUUUCAUUAAUUAUAUUAAACAGACUUACAUACAUGUAAAACACAAAUUUCACUGCCAUAAAUUAUUUGCUAAGAAGAGUAUAUAUGAAAAAGUUCAGAAACUGAGAAUAAUUAAUAGGUGUUCAUCCAAUAUAAAACUGAAAAACAGACCUCAUAGAGCGGUUCUCCAUCCACAACUACCCAUGGAACAUACUUGUGAGGAGGCUGCAAAGCAUCUGUUUCAGCUGCAUAUUGUAGCUCCAGCUGCAUAUAAAGAUGGUAACAUUAGCUACAUCUCUAUCACUGUUCAAGUUUUCUAAAUCCCAACUUUCCACAAGAUAGUUUCACUUACUAAUGUUAGUAAAGUUUCCAUGCUCCUCGAAAACAAUAUAAGAGAAGAAAAAGGUUGUUUAAAAACAUUAUUAAAGUCCUAUUUGGAUAAACCUCCCCAUAUUAAACUCACACUUAAUAACACUAUCUGAGUGACAAGAAGGUUGCCCAAGAACAAGAACUAAAUCACAGAAAAACACCAACCUGUUUUCCAUGUUCACUAUUAUAACACUGCUUAAUAGGUUCGGAAUCCAGAUGCAGCUUCUCAUAGCAAGAUUCCCACUCGUUGACCCUUCGCUGAUGCACAAAAUCCUCAACACAGUAGAUGAACUGAAAAUGCUUGCCCUGUGAUGAAGAAAAGAAAUGGAGAAGAAGCUCGAGUUACAUAAAUAAACAAUCACAACACAGAUACACAUGCAAAGCAAAUCACUGUUACAGUGAACCAACACAGCAAGAUCACUCCUUUUCUUUUUCAGCCGACCCUAAUUAUCACAGCGGUGCUACCCCAUUAAAGCUCUAAUUGGAUAGAGUUUGAAAAAAUAAAAAAGGAAAGGGGCAAGAAAAUUGUUACCAGUUCAGGCCAAAUAUCAAUUGCACAGGCUUCAACUGUAUUCAGGAAGCACUCAUUUGGUCCAUGCUGCAAUCAAAAAUAAAAAAUAAAAAAAUAAAUAGAAAAAAUUAAUAAAAGGUAAAAUUGGGUGAAAAGGGUACCUGGCAGAUGAAGGUGUGGUUGGGUUGAAGGNUUGCAUUGCCCCAAGGAACGAAUUUGAGGUCAACGAUGGGGAUGAGGUCAGUGGAGAAGAUUUUAGGAAGGUGAUUGACGAUAAAGUCGACGCUGUCUGGGCACAAACUUUCAUAGUACAAUUCUAUGGAGACUUUGGGAAGGUGAGAUUUGGAUUCAGAUUGCGAGAAGAAGGCGAAGAAAGAAACACAGAGGAGCAGAGAAAGAAAGAAGGUGGUGGAAGAAGAAACCAUGGCUGAAACUGAAUUUGGGUUCGAGGGGAAACCAGGAUCCAAAUUGAAUAAAUUGUCUGUGAAUCCAAGAAGGUGUUUAUUUAAGAUUUAAAUUAC